CACGCUCUCCAUCUCCUCCACCUUCAACUUCGCAAAGAGCCUAAAAACGCCGCCGGAUGACUCGGCGCUGGUGUCCCAGACAUCGAAAGCGAGCUUCGACUCGACGAUAUUGUUGUAGGAGCUGAUGUUGAAGGUCUUGACAUCCAUGGAGCCGUCGGAUUUCUUGUAGGUGAGCAGGGUCUGGGCCCCCUUCAUGCCGGUGCUCGUCGGAUUGAUGGCCCACGCGAUCCAGCCGUCGGAUUUGGCUGGAGUCGCGACGAAGGCGAUUGAGAGAGUGGAGUUGGACGAGUCGUAGGUCCAGUGGAGGUAGGAUUUGAGCGUGGGGAGGUCUACGCAGUUUGAGUAGAGCUUGUUGUUGGUGAAGGUUUGGGUGGUGCAGGUGAGUGAAUGCGCGGGUGAGAUUAACAAAACCAGAGCGAGCGUUAGCCCCAGAAAUGCCAGAGAAGGAGGAGAAGAAGAAGAAGAAGCCAUGGAUGAAUACGGAGAAGAAGAUGAGUAACUGCUAAGUAGUUGAUGCUGAUGAUGAAGAACAAAGGCUUCCCACUAAUUUUUGGCGGAAUUUAUAAAGAGAGAAGUGAGACAGCGAGAGAAGCAAAGGGUAAUUAUCGCUUGCGGGUGGAUCUACUCAAUGGAUUUUAGAAACCAUGUGAUGGACGCGUUAAAUAAUAAAGGAAUGGAGAUUGCAUGAGAGAACGAAAACACGAUUAAUACAAAAUAAAAAACAGAUCAGCAACAAAAAUUAAUGGAUUAUGUUCACUUAAUCUUCGCUUAAAUUCCGUAAACAUGUCCACUUUCAUGCAACGUGCAUUUUUAACUAUGGAGAUUUUUUUAUUUAUAGAUAAUGGAGUAAAUUUGGGGAAAAUAAAAAAAUCCCAAAAAUGAAAAAUUGCAAAUUUCCUAUCCAUUUUUGCACGGUUGGAUUUAUUAUUACUAAAGAAUCUGGCUGAUUAUAAUUGUAGAUUUUGGAAUUAUAUGCCAACCAAAGUGAUUUUUGGCCUACCAGAUGUGACUGGGAUGAGAUGAUGCAAGGCUUGUGUCAUGGUGACAUCAAUAUUCUUGUGUCUAUGUAUAGGAAAAUAAAAUUGCGACAGAUUUUUCUCCCAUACAAAUUGUUCAAUUGGUGAUGAAUAAGUUAACAAAUCAAAGUUAUUAGGAAGUAUUAGUUCGAGUCUAAGCAUCCGUGUACCGUGUAGUGUAUACGAGUUUAGUAUAUGUUGAAAAAAUUAAGUAUUACUUAUACGUCAUUAUUGAAUCAUGUGCAAUGCUUAAAACGAAUGUAUCCCUACUUAUACCGCGAAACCGAAAAAAACCAAUCUGAAUAUAUACAAGACAACAAACAGCCCAACCAAAAACGACAGCUAACGAAAACAAGGAAACAAACACCUACAAAAACAAAACCUGUAAAAGGAAAAAAAAAAUAGAAGCGAGGAAGAAGACGAAGCCCUUGAGAUUGUUCCGUUUUGAUUCGAUUAUAUAGGGUUCAUAAUAAAAGAUGCUUUCUUCAAUUCUUUUGUAGCAGAUUGAGUACAACUCUGCACAGAUUUGUCGUCAUUGUUUUGAAACUGGUAACGACGAAAAGUCUUGUGCAAAUUACAAAUGGAAUUCCUUUUUUUUUUUUUUAAAUGACGAGAGGCCAGAAAAAGAAAAAACACACAAAAAUGAGUGUUUGAAAGCAAACGCGUGAAAAGGGAAGAAAAGAAAGUGUCGUUUUGGUGCGUUCCUUCCAAUUAUUUAUGCAAGAGGGCAAGAACUAGUAGCUAGCCAUCUAAGUAUAAGUUUAUCUGGGUAGGGUACGUGUGGAGUACACAAAAGCAAGGGCAGUGGUUGACACGGGACCGGACAAAUUUGUAUUUUAUUUUUGACAUAUUUAACCCUUGCCUAAUUAAAUACAAACGAGUAUUUAGGGGGCGUUUGUAUCCUAUUCAAAUUAGGGAACUUGAAAACUUUGAUUUUUCUUAAAAACAAGGAGUUCAAAAACUUGUUUGGUAUGCAACUUGAAAACUAUUUUUAAAUCUUAAAAAUUUGAGAACUUAUGGGUUGUUAGAAAAAAAAAACUAAAAAAACAUAUAUUUUUUGCUUUUAAUAAUUGGGGUAUUUUUUAGUUGUUCUUGAGUUUGAGUUUUUAAAAAUAAGGCUACCAAACAAGUUUUCUUUAUUUUGAACUCAAAUUCUAUUUUGAAUUUAAAAAGUUCAAUUCAAGUUGAAUACUAAACAGGCCCUAAGUUAUUUAAAAAAAGAAUUUUACUAGUGUGAGUUGUCCACACGCUUCAUAUCCGAAACUUAACUAUUAAUGUUAGUCUACACGUCUUAAUGGUUAGAAAUCGCUUUUAAUGCGACGGUUAUGGGAAUAGUGUCAAUGGAAAAAUCUCUGAUUUUCACCAUAAAUAUUAAAAUUUAGACGUGACAAGCAUUUCCUUUUAACGUUCACUUUCUAAUUUAAUUGACAUUUUUGGUUUGUCAAUUAUCACCUUCUUUUUUUUUUAUAAAUCAAUUGGGAAUUUAUAAAUAUCAUGGAAUAUAUAUAUAAAAAUAUUAUUCCACUUAAACGUGCUGAGACCUCCAUCUCUCACUUUGAUACAAUCAAUCACAAUAUUAAGGAAGAAUAAAAACCCGACCCGAAAUACUAAAUUUAGAUUGCAAUGAGAGCUCCAAGAACCAAAACCGAAACAGACAACACACCCAUGUUUCCUCCACUCCCAAUCCUCAAAGCUCCGCUACCACCACCACCAGUGCUGUUGGCGGUGGAAUUAGCACCAACGGGAGUGCCCGUGGUGGAAUUGGCCAUCAAGUACAAGGUGCUAAACGACUGGAGAUUGGGUGGGGCGAAGUCAUGCUUCACGGGGAAGCCGGAGGUCUUGUUGAUGGCGGGGCCCAACUGCCAGACCUGGUUCACGGACGCUGCGUCUUUUGGGACCUUGACGGAGGCGAAUAUCGUGAACGUGCCUUUGGAGAACUCCGCGCUGACGUCCCAUACGUCGAACGCGAGUUUUCCCGGCACAAUGGAGCUGUACGAGGUGAUGUUGAAUGUUUUGACGACUGGGGCUCCAUCCUCGGUUUUGUAGGCCAGGAGGGUCUGGGCCCCAGCCAUCUUGGCGGCGGUGGGGUUGAUGGCCCACGCCACCCAGCCUUCAGAUUUGGACGGCGUCGCCACGAAGGCGAUGGAGAGAGAGGAAUUGGAGGCAUUGUAGGUCCAGUGGAGGUAGGAGCUGAGGAAGGGGAGGUCGCUGCAGUUGGGGUAGAGCUUGUUGUUCUUGAAUGUCUGUGAGCUGCAGGUGGCUGCCUGUGCUGGUGAUAUUACCAGAGCCAGGAGGGAGAUCCAUGAGACUGAGACAAGAAGAAGAAGAUGAAGAGAGGAAGCCAUUAUUGGAGAAUAUGGAGAGAGAGAUUGGCUGUGAAUUGAAAAAGGGAGAGAGAUGUUCUGCUGAAUGUAAAGGUUGUGGGAGAAUUUAUAUUGAAAAUAAAUUGUUAGAUGUAUUCGAUAUAUCACGUGAUAUGCUGAUAUUGCGGAUGUACAGGAUAAUUUCUCUACAUAUUGGUUUUGAUUGUAUGGUUUCGUUGUAAUCGGUUGCAUACAAUUAUUUUUUUAUACGUAAAUAAACCAAUAGUAGUUGUAUGCAACCCAUUUUUUCAUAUGCAACUGCUCAUUUUAUAUCACAGUCAAUCAGUACAGUUGUAUACAACGAGUGAUGAAAAAAAUGGAGAAAAAUAAGUCACACACACUAAAUGAGAAAUAAAAAAUUAAGAAAGUAUAAGUUAAGGAACUAUUUCGAUAAAAAAAAUUCUUAUAUUGUAUUAUUUGUUUAAAGUCAAUGAAAAAAAAACAACAACGUGUUCAUAAGAUUAGGAUUACUCAUACAUACGACCUUAUUCAAUCAUGUGCAAUGUUCUAAAACGAAAAGUAUAUUAUUUUUGUAGUACAAAUAUAUGCGUACGUAAAUCGAACACCUACAGCUACAAAAACAAAACCAGUAGAAGAAGACGAACCUUGAUGCCCUUGAGGUUGUUCUUGUUCCAUUACGUAGGGUUCAUAAUAAAAGAUUAGUUCUUUCUUUUCCGGUAGAUAGGGUACAACUCUGCCUCGUGCAAAUUGCAAAUGAAUUAUAUAUUUUUGAUGAUGACAUUGACAGCCCAGAAGGAACAAAGAAAACACAGAAAAAAUUUGGCUCGUUAAAAUUGAGGAGGAGAUCCUCUUACAACUAAUGUGAUUUUGACGAGUGUUAAAUUAUUUUAAUAUUCUUUUUUUUUUUUGUUGAAAUUUUGUCAAUGUUGCCAAAUUUUGACAAAUGUCAAAACUCCAUUAGUUUUAAAAAGAAACUCCUCCUCAAUUUUAAAGAGUAAUGUCUUGCUCCACAAAAAUUUGUGUUUGAAACUGUCCUUCUACCUGCCCUUGUGGUUAAGUGCGCAUGCACUAAUUCCUAGUAGUCUUGGGUUCGAAGGUUGGUACCACAUUCUCUACAAUAUUAGGGGUCGUUUGGCAUAGCGGACUGUCAUGGACUGGACUAAAUCAUGUGACUGUCUCAUAUUAGCUUGGAUUGGCCUAAGCUGGAUUAAGUACUGACCUACAUUUAGUGCUGCGUCGGACUAAGAAGCUAGAUUGUAAAAAUAGUGAAGACCUUGGCGAUGUGUCGGACUAAAAAAUAAUUCUUAUAAUAUUUAAAUUUAAUUGGGGGUUUUGACCUAAAAGAUAAAUAAAUGCUAUAAAGAAACCCAAUUCAAAGAUUUAUAACAAUAUCUGGUAAAAAAAAGAAGAAAGAAUUAAAACAAUAAUAAAAAGAAAACAAAUAAUUUUUUUUUUUAUGAAGAAUAAAAUUAUGAUAUUUAUUUUUUGACUUCUCAAGAUUAAUCUUAAGUUUUUCGGGGACCAAGUAAAAUAAUAAUUAAUUUUAUAUAUUUAUGUAUAUGUAUAAUUUUUGUAUAUUUGACUUUUGACUUUAAACUGAAAAAUAUAAUUUAACAAGGUAAAAAUUGCUUGUGAUAAAGAAAGCAUCACAUCAUGAAUUAUUAAACUUGUUUGAAUAUUAAAAAAAAUCAAACAUUUGUAAAUUACUAUAGUUCGAUUUUCCAAAUGCAAUUUUAAAAUAAUUAUUGUAAUAUUUAAAUUUAAUUAAGGAUUUUAAUCUUUAAAAAAAAUAAAUGCUGCAAAAAAAAAAACCAUUCAAAGAUCUAAAACAAUAAUUAAAAGAAAACAAAUAAAAUUAUGAUAUUUUUUAAAGAGAGGCGUCAGACUCAUGUGUUUUAUUUAGCGAACCACUUUUCAGGCUCACUAUAUUAGAUGAGAGAGUAAGACUUGUUUUUCAAUAUUGGCCUAUACAGUCUCAUUUAAGUUAGUCAUGUCUCUUACUAAACAAGGAUUUCGAGUGCUAUUUAACCCAAUCCAAUGCAAUGAGGCAUACCAAACAUGAUCUUGGUGUUUAAAACCAAACCCGUAAAAAACGCGAAAAAAAAUUUGUCGUUUUUGUGCUUUCCAAUUAUUUAUGCAAGAAGCCUUCUUUUAACUAUAAGAUAAAUGAGGUGGGGUACGUGGAGGACACAAAAGCGAAGGCGGUGGGACUAGUGGAAGACUCCGGACCCAAAACCCCUGCUUAAUUAAUUGACAAGUAUUAAUAAAUUAUUUUGUUAGCAUGAGUCGUCCACACGUUUAUAGUCGGCUAGAAUUUAACUAUUGAUACUAAGCAUCCACACUUCUCAAAGGUAAAAAAUCCCAAAGUCUGUAUCGUUCAUGCAUAGUGUUAAUUUGACUGUCAUGUGAAUAUUAUGCGAAUGGAAAGAUCACUGGUUUUUGAAAUACCAUAAAGAUCGAAAUAUUUACAUGGCAAUCAUUUCCCUUUAACGUUCCCUUUCUAAUCUAAUUGACCUUUUUGGUUUGUCAAUAAUCACUAUCUUUAUUUUUAUUUUAUUUUUAAAAAUCAAGGUACAAUGAGGCCCCAAAAUUACUCAAGUAACAAUGUUAAAAAAUGGACGGACGAAGGUUAGGUGAAUUGGUAAAGUAUUCUACCUGCGUCUAGCACUUGAGUUUAAUUCCCCUCUUGGUACAUUAUAAUAAUUUAAAAUUUUGCUUUAUAAUUAAAAACAAAAUGUCAAAUAUUAAAAGAAAGAAAAAAGAGACCAACGUGAAAAUAAAGGAAAAUAUUAAACUAAAUUAAAUGGUACAAGCAUUUCCUCUCAUCAAGAUCCACCCUAUUAAUUAAUGACCAACUAGAGCCAUCUCUUUUUCUCUCAUCGAUCCAAGAUGCAGAUGAGGAGGAGAGAUAAUUUAAAUCAAUGGGGAAAUCAUAAAUAUCAUGGAAUAUAUAAUAAAUAUUUCCACCUAAAAGUGUUGACAUCUCCAUCUCCCACUUGGACUCAUCAAUAAGAAAAAAAAUUUAUAAAUUAAAAAAAAAAACUAAAUUUAGAGAGCAAUGAGAGCUCCAAGAACCAAAAGCGAAACAGAGAACAAUCCCAUGUUUCCUCCACUCCCAAUCCUCAAGGCUCCGCUACCACCACCACCAGUGCUAUUGGUAGUGGUAUUAGUACCAGCGGGAGUGCCCGUAGUGGAAUUUGUGGUAGUAGUGGAAUUGGCCCCCAAGGACAAGGUGCCAAACGACUUGAGAUUGGGUGGGGCGACGUCAUGCUUCUCGGGGAAACCGGAGGUCUUGUUGACGGCGGAGCCCACCUGCCAGACCUGGUUCACUGAUGCCGCGUCCUUCGGGACCUUGACGGUGGCGAAGAUCGUGAAGGUGUCGUUGGAAAACUCCGCGCUGACGUCCCAGACUUCGAACGAGAGUUUUCCCGGCACGAUGGAGCUGUACGAGGAGAUGUUCAAUGUGUUGACGGCUGGUGCCCCGUUCUCGGUCUUGUAGGCUAAGAGGGUCUGGGCCCCAGCCAUCUUGGUCUCGGUGGGGUUGAUGGCCCACGCGACCCAGCCGUCAGAUUUGGCCGGCUUCGCCACGAAGGCGACGGAGAGAGAGGAGUUGGAGGCAUUGUAGGUCCAGUGGAGGUAGGAGCUGAGGAAGGGGAGGUCGCUGCAGUGGGCGUAGAGCUUGUUUUUCUUGAAUGUCUGUGAGGUGCAGGUGGCUGCUUGCGCGGGUGAGAUUAGCAGAGCCAGGAGGGAGAUCCACGAGACUGAGACAAGAAGAACGGGAUGAAGAGAGGAAGCCAUUAUUGGAGAAUAUGGAGAGAGAGAG
Molecule: long non-coding RNA, 7163 nt
Filed under: Prunus persica (peach)
Lineage: Eukaryota; Viridiplantae; Streptophyta; Magnoliopsida; Rosales; Rosaceae
Description: long non-coding RNA (PPER_LNC008442)
Source: RNAcentral